Molecule: long non-coding RNA, 2002 nt
Organism: Oncorhynchus tshawytscha (Chinook salmon)
Lineage: Eukaryota; Metazoa; Chordata; Actinopteri; Salmoniformes; Salmonidae
Source: Ensembl
AUGACACUAGCUUACUCGUUUUUAAAAAUAAUAUAUUAAAAUAGGAAAUUAAACUUGUUUACAUUUUGUUUCAUGGCUAGAGCGUGUGAUAAAGCGAAUUAGAAUUCCACUCCAAUUCGAAACAAUGUGUAAAGACGUAUUCCAUCUCUAUGCGACCGAGAGGGUCACAAUGCCGACGCUUCACAUGGAACUCCAGAACCCAAGAUAUAUGUCCAGAACACUCAAAAAAUCUUCAGUUCUUGAUCGACAAACACCGAGAGAGACAGCAUUAUUAUGGCAAGCUUUUCAUUCAUCUUCCCCGAAGACAGACGUUGUUCCAUUAAGGACAACGAAGUCAAUUCAGGGUGGAUGUCAACGGUAACCAAACUCAACACCCAUGGCGGUCCAGAGUCAGAGAGUCAGAACAUCCAUCAGUGCGUUGCAGAUGUACUUGGUAACAAGUACCACUACGCGAAUGCCAUUGACAGCUCUCUGCUCUGGACCGUUGGGUACACCCCCUACAUUCCCCCAGCUCUGAAAGGAAGAAGCUUCCCCUCUGUCGAGAGCUUCUUCCUGGAUGAGUGGGAGCCACUGACACUCCUGCAGACUCCUCAGGUUCUGUCCACCAGUGUUUCCAUCAAGGAAGACAACCUGAUCCAGUCUGCUGCGGGCCUAGUGUCUCUGGUUCUGUCAUCCAGUGUUCCCAUCGAGGAAGACAACCUGAUCCAGUCUGCUGCAGGCCUAGUGUCUCAGGUUCUGUCCACCAGUGUUGCCAUUGUGGAGAAUGACCUGAUCCAGUCUGCUGCAGGCCUAGUGUCUCAGGUUCUGUCCACCAGUGUUGCCAUCGUGGAGAGUGACCUGAUCCAGUCUGCUGCAGGCCUAGUGUCUCAGGUUCUGUCCACCAGUGUUAUCAUCCUGAAAAAUGACCUGAUCCAGUCUGCUGCAGGCCUUGUGUCUCAGGUUCUGUCCACCAGUGUUAUCAUCGUGGAAAAUGACCUGAUCCAGUCUGCUGCAGGCCUAGUGUCUCAGGUUCUGUCCAGCAGUGACACUAGAGUGAAGGAUCGUAUUGAUUCCACACUGACAGACUCCAACCAACCUGAGGUCCAUGUGGCGGAUGUCUCAACCGAGAGAAGUAAAUUAGUCAUCACUAUUUCUAUGUUUUCAAUAGAGAGUUGCAAUGCGUUGGUCCAUGAAGUUGAUGCUAUUGCUACCAGCCUGGAGCACCCGGCUGAGAAAAUGUCUACCUCUACCGCUGAUGGCCACUUCGUUUCAUCCACUGCUGUUGCCAAUCAGAAGAAAUCAAGGGGUGAAUUCGUCUCAUCUCUACGGAGACUGUUCACGAGAAAGUACAGGAAGCCUGCUAAAGUGUCUUCCAAGAAGGAGCACAUUCACUUGGUUGACCGCCUCAAUGCUGAAGUCACCCACUGAGGACACUCACUCACUGCUGAAAGCAUCCAGAAUGAUGCUUCUGUUUCUCCUCAACGCCACCUACACCCCUGCCCCUCUCCCCCACACCAAACCCUACCAGGGUAGGGUUGAAUUCCAGAUCAAUUCAGUCAAUUCAAGAAGUAAACUGAAAUUCCAAUUCCAAUUGUUUCUCAUAGGAGGCAUUGAGGUAAAUUUGAAUUGCUAUUGGAAUUUCAGUUUACUUACUGAAUUGACUGAAUUGAAAAUGAAUUGACCCCUAACCUGAUCCCUAAGCCUCCACCCCAUCCAUUUCUAUCUUCAGUAAAUUUUGUCAAAUUUUAUUUGAAUGUGUUUUGUAUCUUCAUUGAAACCACAAUGCAUCUCUAACGAGAGUCACUCAUGUUACACAUCUAGAUUUAUCAUCAAAUGUCGUAGAAUUCAAUGACAAAUGCAGUGGUUUAGCAGUUCAACUUCAGUACUUGUCAAUGAGUCACUGCACUGUGACCUUCAGAAACAUGUAACAUUGUGGAAUAACUGAACACGUUUGCUGACAUUCUGUUACAAUGUAACUACACUGAACAAAAAUAUUAACGCAACAUGUAAAGUGUUGGUACCA